Molecule: long non-coding RNA, 1072 nt
Organism: Alligator sinensis (Chinese alligator)
Lineage: Eukaryota; Metazoa; Chordata; Crocodylia; Alligatoridae
Exons: 2
Source: RefSeq, a predicted model, not a curated record
GCCCCGCGCUCCCGGUCUGAUGCUGCUCUCGUUCUCCUCCAGGACCCUCCGCCUCGCGCAAACGGUGCCCGUGCAGUUGCAGGGUGCCGUUGUAGGGUAUCCAAUGGAAUGGAGCCCGAGCCCUCAUUGUGAUCAUCAGCUGGUCACAAAAGACUCUACAAACUCGAAACAAGUCAUUGACUUGGCUUCAUCUCCCAGGAAGCAUCACUGCUGGAACACUGACAGAUGCUUCACCAACGUGACAGAAGCAGCUCUGUUGACCACCUGGAAAUGCUCCACAGACCACAGUCUGAGAUCUCCUGAAACAGAGGCAGACUGAGUUUCCCUAAAGAGUGCUACCCAGCUCAGGGGUCCUCCAUAUGCUGUGGCAUUCAAACAUGAUAUGAAAACAGCUGUGGUGCUGACAGUUUUUGCUGCAGCACCUCCUGCUCUUCAUUGUGCCAGUGCUGUUUUAUUCUUUGCUAUUGGGCAGCCUGGCCUUGGAGGAAGGCAUCUUAUUUUAAGAAAAAUAUCUGAUGCAGAAAGGAAGGACAAGAAGUGUGCUGAAAAAGCCUGUCAGAUCACUGAUAUAAAACAGUUUCUCUCUGUUAAGGAGUAAUAAGACUAUUCAAAGAAGAAACCAACAGCCAAGGUGUUGGAACAUAUUUGGAACAGGGUCUGGUGCUGUAUAUGUAUAGCACAUAGCAAAGUGCACCCCAAUCUCAGCUGUGGUAUUUAAGUACUGCUGCAAGAGGUUUCAAAACCCCCAACGAAAUUCUGAAACAGCCUAGGAUUCUAAGUCUUUUUUUCUGAUAACCACCAUUAUUUUCAAAAUAGUUUUUCUCUAUCGUUCUCUGACUUUGUUGGUCUCUACCUCUUCUCUGACUUUUGCUAGUGCAUCUAAAACAGAACAUUCUCCUGUUCUCCUCUUAACUGGCUUAUGGUUAGAGGUCUAGAAAAAAAGUAGUGGUCUAGACAGAUAAAUAAAGCUAGGCUGAGAACCAGAAUUAUUUUAUCUAGAGAAGAGAAGAACAGGAGAGAUUUGAAAAGUCUUUAAAUGCAAAAUAAAGUUGUUGUAACUGUUGUUCAAAAA